UAAGGUCGGCAGCGAGUCAGACGCACACCAGUGCAGAGGGAAUCCGGUGAGAGUCCGGAGCUGUCGCGCAGCGGUAUGGGUGACUGACGGGGUGAGAUCCACUGGGCCACGAGGCCUGGGAAGGGACCCCGUCGGGACGACCCCGAGUCCGAAGACCUGCUGACUCGCUGGACCCCGA
RNAcentral lists this non-coding RNA (178 nucleotides) under Janibacter melonis. Lineage: Bacteria; Bacillati; Actinomycetota; Actinomycetes; Micrococcales; Intrasporangiaceae. The record is from RNAcentral.